UCUGAGGAGAACCCCAAAAAAUCCAGAUAUAGCUCACUGAGGAAUUACAGAAGGAAUUCCUAGAGGGAUCCUAGGAUAAAUUUGUGGAGAAACCACGGUAAGAUAUCCACAUAGUCACCUACAAGAAUACCAAAUUGAUUGAGCGCUUACAGCGCCACCCAGCGGCAAAAAUCGAAUUCUGCGUACGUUUUGCCAAGUUUCCCCAUACAAAUUUCAAGCUCAGUGAGCGCCCUCUUAAUCUUAAUCGAAUACGCUCAAAUUUUGAACGUAGUUUCUGGGCGCCCAAAACAACUGACUCAGGAGGUAUGUUUUGCAUUUUUUUCAACAUUUAUUUUGAAAUUUAUUUCCGAUAUUUCCUUGAAACCAUUGAAACCAUUCAUGAAUAAGGUACCACUUCGUUAGGCCGAAGUUCAUAGGGCUGAAUAGGUCAGUAGUGUGCUGGAUCGUUAUGACGCAACAGUAACACUGGCCGAACUACGUUAGGUCGAAGUACAUCAGGUCGAAAGUGUCACUAACCCGAAUGGGUUAUUAGGCCGAAUGACUUUAAGAAGACAUCAACAUAACAUCAGAGAAUGCAAAUAUGGCUGCCACAAUGACCCACUUGGUCCCCUACUCACGUUUUCAAGAGCACAAAUCUUGAAAAUGCGUUAACAAAUGCGCUCGAUUUUGAAAAGCUGCCUCUUUUUGCAAGUGAGCAAAGCCAGGAAAAAAGGGCGGCUUGAUUCGAUGCUUCAUUCGUCAGAUUUGUGCCUCCAAAGUUUGUAUGUAAAAUACAAAUUCUUGAUGUUUCACCGUAAAAAUAAGAACUGGUACAUGGCAGCCAAGUUAAGUGAUUUGAUGAUUAUAUAUUCCAUAAAGAUACUUCGAAAGAAUAGUAUAUUUUUUUUUAAGAAGUUGAAAUAACUUUGUUUCACAAAAUCAAGAUUAUAUAAAAAAUAAUGGAAGAAGUUUUGAAGAAGAAUCAUUUUUUAUAUAUCAACCAAAUUUAACUUACCUGACAAAAGUAUUCAUUCCAUAUUAUACCGAAUUUAUCUACCUGCCUUAUCGGGUCGUGAUGAACAUGUUGAGCUCAUGAAUUGAUUUACCAUGAUGAAAGCGCCAAGUUUAGCAUCUUUCAAAAAAUAUUUCAGAACAUAUUUGUCGCUCUCAAGAACUGCUAGGUACUGUAAAACUCAGACAGGGUACAAACUAAAUUAUAAUAGUUUUCAAAUUAUGCAAAUUUCGUAUAACACUGGAAGAUGCAUGGCAAUAUCAUACACACGAACUAUGUGUUAUAAGGAUAAUAAACUUUUUUACAAAUCUUUACGUUUCUCAUGGCCCAUUUGAAAGUGGUUUCAAUCAUACAAAAUUGCAUGUUUUCAUUAGAAACUCUUAUCAGUUUCAAAAUUGGAAUUCAAUGAUUUUUUUACCAACUUUUAACAUUCACGUAAAAGAAAAAUCAAAAUGUUCACACUACUGACAAACAGACGUAACACUCUUCAAAAAGGUUUGGCACAUGCAUUUAACAAUCAAUUCAAAUUUCAUUUGAUUUGCGCGAUCCUUCCGCCAGAGGUGCUAGUGUUCGAUCGCUUUGACGUUUGCCAGUGUACACGUUGCUGAAUGAUGCAAUCGAAAAUUACAGGCGAUUUGUGUAGUAGUGUCACAGAGAACAGACAUUUAAGCUCGAACAAAAAUACGUCGAAAUCGUGUGUAAAGGAUUUAAGUGAACCUCAACGCCACCAACGGAGACUGCCCCACUUAUAAAGUCGAUUUGACCCCACGAUGGCAGUGAUCACCGUUAAAAUACACUAGCCCACAAAGCGACACGAGCGCCAAACGGCCAAAAACGGCGAGCACUGAAAACAAAUAUGACAACACAACAAUGUAAGUGAUGGGACGCUAGCGCCGCGCAACGGGAGCAUAACCACAUACUCUGAUAUGACCGUUGCAAAGUUUUACACAAGGUAGAAAGCGAAGAUAGACGUCUGUUCUCUGUGGUAGUGUGCGUGUUAGACAAACGUCAAAUCGAAAUUCAACAUGGCCGACAGUGUCUCGCGCGGUUCUACCAACAGUGGGCUCAGGAAAAAGACACCGGGUAAAAGUUUUAGAUGAAUUUCCUCUUAGAGUUACGUCUGAUUGUCUGUGUUCACACCAUGAUCAUUUCGGAAUCAAUUCAAUUAAAAACUAUUAUGCACCUUACCUUUUUAUCCAGUUAAUCCUGCAUAAUUUACCUACCAGACAUACUAAAUACAGAGAUGUGCGUGUGAAAAUUCCGUCUGCUAAUUCGGCAACACUGUUUUUCUUGUUUACAAACUUGCCGGAAAAUUAUGAUCAAACUUUAUCAUGACUUUGUCGUGUUUGAAAUAUUUUUGUU
Long non-coding RNA from Aedes albopictus (Asian tiger mosquito), 2353 nucleotides. RefSeq lists it as uncharacterized. The record is from RefSeq and is a predicted model, not a curated record. The transcript is spliced from 2 exons. Lineage: Eukaryota; Metazoa; Arthropoda; Insecta; Diptera; Culicidae.